AUGAGGGACUGGCUUAAGCCAAAGACAGCAGGUGCGAAACAGCUUAAAUACCCUGCCGAGGUCAAAGCGAGAAAACAGCAGCCAAAAAGACUAAAGAGAGAUAUUUUCUGUCUUGGUCGUGCCUGAACUGGAUUCUCUCCACUCAACCCCGGCGCUACAAGGGGUUAUUUUUGUGCCUGU
This is a non-coding RNA of Microcystis aeruginosa NIES-843, 180 nucleotides long. Lineage: Bacteria; Bacillati; Cyanobacteriota; Cyanophyceae; Chroococcales; Microcystaceae. The record is from Rfam.